UAGGGAAUCUUCGGCAAUGGACGAAAGUCUGACCGAGCAACGCCGCGUGAGUGAAGAAGGUUUUCGGAUCGUAAAACUCUGUUGUUAGAGAAGAACAAGGACGUUAGUAACUGAACGUCCCCUGACGGUAUCUAACCAGAAAGCCACGGCUAACUACGUGCCAGCAGCCGCUGUAAUACGAAGGUGGCAAGCGUUGUCCGGAUUUAUUGGGCGUAAAGCGAGCGCAGGCGGUUUCUUAAGUCUGAGGUGAAAGCCCCCGGAUCAACCGAGGGGGGUCAUUGGAAACUGGGAGACUUGAGGGCAGAAGAGGAGGGUGGAAUUCCAUGUGUAGCGGUGAAAUGCGUAGAUAUAUGGAGGAACACCAGUGGCGAAGGCGGCUCUCUGGUCUGUAACUGACGCUGAGGCUCGAAAGCGUGGGGAGCAAACAGG
RNAcentral lists this ribosomal RNA (429 nucleotides) under Gemmatimonadota bacterium. Its description in RNAcentral is "Gemmatimonadetes bacterium partial 16S ribosomal RNA". It matches the Rfam family "Bacterial small subunit ribosomal RNA", at positions 355 to 776 of the family's 1533-position model. Lineage: Bacteria; Pseudomonadati; Gemmatimonadota. The record is from RNAcentral.